Molecule: ribosomal RNA, 502 nt
Filed under: uncultured organism
Description: bacterial SSU rRNA
Rfam family: Bacterial small subunit ribosomal RNA
Source: RNAcentral
GACGAACGCUGGCGGCGUGCUUAACACAUGCAAGUCGAACGGAGAAUUUAUUUCGGUAAAUUCUUAGUGGCGAACGGGUGAGUAACGCGUAGGCAACCUGCCCUUUGGAUGGGGACAACAUUCCGAAAGGAGUGCUAAUACCGAAUGUGAUCCAUCUCUCGCAUGAGAGAUGGAUGAAAGAUGGCCUCUAUUUAUAAGCUAUCGCCAAAGGAUGGGCCUGCGUCUGAUUAGUUAGUUGGUGGGGUAACGGCUCACCAAGACGAUGAUCAGUAGCCGGUCUGAGAGGAUGAACGGCCACAUUGGGACUGAGACACGGCCCAAACUCCUACGGGAGGCAGCAGUGGGGAAUCUUCCGCAAUGGACGAAAGUCUGACGGAGCAACGCCGCGUGAGUGAUGAAGGUUUUCGGACUGUAAAACUCUGUUGUCAGGGACGAAGGUGCGAUCUGCGAAUAGUUGAUCGUAUUGACGGUACCUGACGAGGAAGCCACGGCUAACUACGUG